CACGUAGGGGACGAGCGUUGUCCGGAAUCAUUGGGCGUAAAGGGUGCGUAGGCGGCGCGGUAAGUCGGAUGUGAAAUCUCGGAGCUUAACUCCGAAACUGCAUUCGAUACUGCCGUGCUUGAGGACUGGAGAGGAGACUGGAAUUUACGGUGUAGCGGUGGAAUGCGUAGAUAUCGUAAGGAAGACCAGUGGCGAAGGCGGGUCUCUGGACAGUUCCUGACGCUGAGGCACGAAGGCCAGGGGAGCAAACGGG
Molecule: ribosomal RNA, 253 nt
Filed under: uncultured bacterium
Lineage: Bacteria
Description: partial 16S ribosomal RNA
Rfam family: Bacterial small subunit ribosomal RNA
Source: RNAcentral